This 763-nucleotide ribosomal RNA is filed under the name uncultured Streptococcus sp. RNAcentral describes it as "bacterial SSU rRNA". It matches the Rfam family "Bacterial small subunit ribosomal RNA", at positions 28 to 776 of the family's 1533-position model. Lineage: Bacteria; Bacillati; Bacillota; Bacilli; Lactobacillales; Streptococcaceae. The record is from RNAcentral.
GACGAACGCGGCGGCGUGCCUAAUACAUGCAAGUAGAACGCUGAAGAGAGGAGCUUGCUCUUCUGGAUGAGUUGCGAACGGGUGAGUAACGCGUAGGUAACCUGCCUGGUAGCGGGGGAUAACUAUUGGAAACGAUAGCUAAUACCGCAUAAUAGUAGAUGUUGCAUGACAUUUGCUUAAAAGGUGCAAUUGCAUCACUACCAGAUGGACCUGCGUUGUAUUAGCUAGUUGGUGAGGUAACGGCUCACCAAGGCAACGAUACAUAGCCGACCUGAGAGGGUGAUCGGCCACACUGGGACUGAGACACGGCCCAGACUCCUACGGGAGGCAGCAGUAGGGAAUCUUCGGCAAUGGACGGAAGUCUGACCGAGCAACGCCGCGUGAGUGAAGAAGGUUUUCGGAUCGUAAAGCUCUGUUGUAAGAGAAGAACGAGUGUGAGAGUGGAAAGUUCACACUGUGACGGUAUCUUACCAGAAAGGGACGGCUAACUACGUGCCAGCAGCCGCGGUAAUACGUAGGUCCCGAGCGUUGUCCGGAUUUAUUGGGCGUAAAGCGAGCGCAGGCGGUUAGAUAAGUCUGAAGUUAAAGGCUGUGGCUUAACCAUAGUACGCUUUGGAAACUGUUUAACUUGAGUGCAAGAGGGGAGAGUGGAAUUCCAUGUGUAGCGGUGAAAUGCGUAGAUAUAUGGAGGAACACCGGUGGCGAAAGCGGCUCUCUGGCUUGUAACUGACGCUGAGGCUCGAAAGCGUGGGGAGCAAACAGG